RNAcentral lists this ribosomal RNA (590 nucleotides) under uncultured bacterium. RNAcentral's name for it is "partial 16S ribosomal RNA". It matches the Rfam family "Bacterial small subunit ribosomal RNA", at positions 355 to 1376 of the family's 1533-position model. The record is from RNAcentral.
UGGGGAAUAUUGGACAAUGGGCGCAAGCCUGAUCCAGCAAUGCCGCGUGUGUGAAGAAGGCCUUCGGGUUGUAAAGCACUUUUAUCAGGAGCGAAACGCUGUCGGCUAAUACCCGGCGGAACUGACGGUACCUGAGGAAUAAGCACCGGCUAACUUCGUGCCAGCAGCCGCGGUAAUACGAAGGGUGCAAGCGUUAAUCGGAAUUACUGGGCGUAAAUGCGUGCGUAGGCGGUUUCUUAAGUCUGCUGUGAAAUCCCCGGGCUCAACCUGGGAAUGGCAGUGGAUACUGGGAGGCUAGAGUGUGUCAGAGGGUGGUGGAAUUCCCGGUGUAGCGGUGAAAUGCGUAGAGAUCGGGAGGAACAUCAGUGGCGAAGGCGGCCACCUGGGACAACACUGACGCUGAGGCACGAAAGCGUGGGGAGCAAACAGGAUUAGAUACCCUGGUAGUCCACGCCCUAAACGAUGCGAACUGGAUGUUGGUCUCAACUCGGAGAUCAGUGUCGAAGCUAACGCGUUAAGUUCGCCGCCUGGGGGAGUACGGUCGCAAGACUGAAACUUAAAUGAAUUGACGGGGUCAUAGCUGUUUCCUG